GAUGAACGCUGGCGGCGUGCCUAAUACAUGCAAGUCGAGCGAACAGACGAGGAGCUUGCUCCUCUGACGUUAGCGGCGGACGGGUGAGUAACACGUGGAUAAUCUACCUGUAAGACUGGGAUAACUUCGGGAAACCGGAGCUAAUACCGGAUAAUAUAUUGAACCGCAUGGUUCAAUAGUGAAAGACGGUUUUGCUGUCACUUAUAGAUGGAUCCGCGCCGCAUUAGCUAGUUGGUAAGGUAACGGCUUACCAAGGCAACGAUGCGUAGCCGACCUGAGAGAGUGAUCGGCCGCACUGGAGCUGAGACACGGUCCAGACUCCUACGGGAGGCAGCAGUAGGGAAUCUUCCGCAAUAGGCGAAAGCCUGACGGAGCAACGCCGCGUGAGUGAUGAAGGUCUUCGGAUCGUAAAACUCUGUUAUUAGGUAAGAACAAAUGUGUAAGUAACUAUGCACGUCUUGACGGUACCUAAUCAGAAAGCCACGGCUAACUACGUG
This 497-nucleotide ribosomal RNA is filed under the name uncultured bacterium. RNAcentral's name for it is "partial 16S ribosomal RNA". It matches the Rfam family "Bacterial small subunit ribosomal RNA", at positions 28 to 507 of the family's 1533-position model. The record is from RNAcentral.